RNAcentral lists this ribosomal RNA (320 nucleotides) under Klebsiella quasipneumoniae subsp. similipneumoniae. Its description in RNAcentral is "partial 23S ribosomal RNA". It matches the Rfam family "Bacterial large subunit ribosomal RNA", at positions 2054 to 2373 of the family's 2925-position model. The record is from RNAcentral. Lineage: Bacteria; Pseudomonadati; Pseudomonadota; Gammaproteobacteria; Enterobacterales; Enterobacteriaceae.
UGAAGAUGCAGUGUACCCGCGGCAAGACGGAAAGACCCCGUGAACCUUUACUAUAGCUUGACACUGAACAUUGAGCCUUGAUGUGUAGGAUAGGUGGGAGGCUUUGAAGCGUGGACGCCAGUCUGCGUGGAGCCAACCUUGAAAUACCACCCUUUAAUGUUUGAUGUUCUAACGUUGGCCCCUAAUCGGGGUUGCGGACAGUGUCUGGUGGGUAGUUUGACUGGGGCGGUCUCCUCCCAAAGCGUAACGGAGGAGCACGAAGGUUAGCUAAUCCUGGUCGGACAUCAGGAGGUUAGUGCAAUGGCAUAAGCUAGCUUGAC